UACGUAGGGGGCGAGCGUUAUCCAGAUUUACUGGGCGUAAAGGGCUCGUAGGCGGCCAACUAAGUCAGACGUGAAAUCCCUCGGCUUAACCGGGGAACUGCGUCUGAUACUGGAUGGCUUGAGUUUGGGAGAGGGAUGCGGAAUUCCAGGUGUAGCGGUGAAAUGCGUAGAGAUCCGGAGGAACACCAGUGGCGAAGGCGACACGCUGGGCCGUACCUGACACUGAACCGCGACAGCAUGGGGAGCAAACAGG
RNAcentral lists this ribosomal RNA (253 nucleotides) under uncultured bacterium. RNAcentral describes it as "partial 16S ribosomal RNA". It matches the Rfam family "Bacterial small subunit ribosomal RNA", at positions 524 to 776 of the family's 1533-position model. The record is from RNAcentral.